This 20-nucleotide microRNA is filed under the name Corchorus capsularis. RNAcentral describes it as "sRNA CCACVL1_27593". Lineage: Eukaryota; Viridiplantae; Streptophyta; Magnoliopsida; Malvales; Malvaceae. The record is from RNAcentral.
GGGGAAUGAAGCCUGGUCCG